AAUGUAAUAAAUGUCCACAUCCCCACACUAUACACCCCUCUUGACUCCACCCCUCCCUCCUUUGUGAUUUUAAUUGAGAGUCCCUUCACCUUUAAAAAGAAAAUAGAUGAGCGGUCUGCACCCGCAAGGCGGUGCUCUUGUUAUAUAUAGCAAUUACCAAAAUACUACACUCAAUUGUGUUGUUGUUGUUUUUUACAAUAAAAAGCCCAUAUAUAUUUUUCAAGCAUGUUCAUUCUCUUACGAUCUAACGAUUUGUGUCAGAAAUAUGUUAACAAAAUUAAAGCCACACACCUUGAAAUGAAAUACAUGUUAAUCAAUACGUAAAGAUGCAAUUUGUAAGUGUGCAAAAUUUUCAUUAAAUCUAUAGCCUAGUUAGCAAGUAAUUUAUUAUUUAAAUUUUUAAACCGAAAGUAGGAUUUCUAUACGUUUAUGUCCAUUUGGACAGCGUGAUUAUUUUUAAGUUUUAAAGCUCAAAAAAGACGGAUUUCUACCUUGUAACCACCAGAUAUAUUCUCAUUGGCAUAGAUAAAAUUAAAUCUAUAGCAUAGUUAGCAAUUAUUGUAUUUUUUUAUUAUUUUAAAACCAAAAGUAGGAUUUCUAUAUGUAUACGUCCAUUUCGACACAGAUUAUUAUUUUUAAGUUUUAAAGCGCAAAAAAGACGGAUUUCUACCUUGUAAUCACAAGAUAUAUUCUGAUAGGCAUAGAUUAAAUUAAAUCUAUAGCCUAGUUUGCAAGUAAUUUAUUAUUUUUCAAAAGGACCCGCUUUGAAAAACCGAAAGUAGGAUUUCUAGACGUAUACGUCCAUUUCAACAAACGCGUUUAUUUUUAUACGCCCGUCUAUGACGGGACGUAUUAUGGUAUACCCCGCGUCUGUCCGUCCGUCCGUCCGUCUGUCCGUCCGUCCGUCUGUUAAUGUCGUACGCUACGUCAAAUAUCCUUUGACAGAUAUUCUUCAAAUUUUAACACAAUCUUAAUAUUGAUAAACCCUGAUCCCCUUUCGUUUUUGACGGAAUUCUGAAUUGUCGUUCCAGAGUUAUGGGACUUUGUUCGUCAAAAUUUCGUGAUUUCAUUGAAUGUCCUACUGUAGCUCAAAUAUCCUUCGAUGGAUUUUUUUCAAAUUUCAACACAAUCUUAAUAUUGAUAAACCCUGAUCCCCUUUCGUUUUUGACGGAAUUCUGAAUUGUCGUUCCAGAGUUAUGGGACUUUGUUCGUCAAAAUUUCGUGAUUUCAUUGAAUGUCCUACUGUAGCUCAAAUAUCCUUCGAUGGAUUUUUUUCAAAUUUCAACACAAUCUUAAUAUUGAUAAACCCUGAUCCCAUUUCGUUUUUGACGGAAUUCUGAAUUGUCGUUCCAGAGUUAUGGGACUUUGUUCGUCAAAAAUUGAACAAGGUGAGCUUUUUUCUAUUCCGAUUGUACACUACCACUUACCCAUCUACAUUUCUCUUUUAUUAUUGGUCAAAAUAUCUAUAACAGGUUUACUUCAACUCCAUAUCCUCUAAAGAAAUGCAUACAUAUACUCAAAAAAAGAUAUGGUAUGAAUGUCAAGGAGACGGCGCUCCAUGCUCAUGUACUUAUAAAAUAAACCAUGUAUUCAAAUACAAAUAAACUGAAGUAAACAAAUGAUUCAAAGGGUUAUUUAUUACCUUACUACUUCAUUGGCGAACGACGGGCGUAUCAUGCGCUCAUGGCGCAGCUCCUCAGUUUAGUUUUAGAGCACAAAAAAUACGGAUUUCUACAUUGUUACCACCAGAUAUAUAAUAAAUUGUUUUUGUUAAAUGCUUUUGCCAGGCCCGUGGUAUUGACAGUCACUAUUGAUUAAAUGGUUAAGAAAUAGCGGCCCUAAUAAUUGUUAUAAUUUUUUAUCGUGGUGAGAGUUUAUCACAGUGUUACUUUAAUAUUGCUCACUAUCAUAAAGGCGCCGUUCAUCCGAUAAUAACCCCCAUAAAACUUGACAAUAGCAGUAAAAACACCGUUUGUAACACUUACACACUUCAGUGAUUUCACUCUGCUUGGUCAAAAUUCCUGCCAAAUACCCGAAUGACGAGCGCUGUGAAUGGUUGCUUAUCAAUUUUCAAUAGGUAAUUUACUACGCUAGGGGGAGGAGUUUCGUCGAUUCGGUCAGUUGAUUGACUUUGGCGUGUACAGUAAUAAACAGAAGCCACUUAGAUAGCGCUGCGGAUAUGAUAAUUGGCAGAUUUUAGGGCGAAGUGAUAUCGCCGAUGCUUUUGAUCUGGGCGAUUAAAGGGAAGCCACGGCGAUAUAAUCGCCCAAAACGCCCAGUUGCUUGAUCCCUGAUAUUCUAAUUGGCAUAGAUAAAAUAUGUUUCUUAUUUAUACUAAAAUUUACUUUCAUUUCAAGGUGUGUUGCUUUAAUAAAUGGCCCUUCUACAUAAUAUAUAAGUAGGCUGUUUAUCUGGUGACAUUUAAUUAGCUUAUGUUUUGACAUAUUUUUAAAAGGGAAACUCAUUAUACCCCCACAAACGAAGUUUAGGGGGGUAUAUAGCAGGGAACUUGUCUGUCGGUCGGUCGGUCUGUCGGUCCGUAUUAAGUGUCCGCUCUCUAAUUCAAGUAGUUUUCAUCCGAUCUUCACCAAACUUGGUCAGAAGUUAUAUCUAGAUGAUGUCUAGGCUAAGUUCGAACAUGGGCCUUGCCGGGUCAAAAACUAGGUCACGGGGUCACUUGGUGCGUUUUAAACAUUCAGCAUGGUGUCCUCUCUCUUAUUCAAGUAGUUUUCAUCUGAUCUUCACCAAACUUGGUCAGAAGUUGUAUCUAGAUGAUCUCAAGGCCAAGUUCGAAUAUGGGCCUUGCCGGGUCAAAAACUAGGUCACAGGGUCACUUAGUACGUUUUACACAUUGAGCAUGGUGUCCGCUCUCUAUUUCAAGUAGUUUAAAUCCGAUCUUCACCACACUUGGUCAGUAGUUGUAACUAGAUGAUGUGUAGGUCAAGUUCGAACAUGGGCCAUGCCGGGUCCAAAACUAGGUCACGGGGUCACUUUGUGUGUUUUAAACCUCACCAUGUUUUCCGCUCUCUAAUUCAAGUAGUUUUUAUCCAAUCUUCACCAAAAUUGGUCAGAAGUAGUAUCUUGAUAAUGUCUAGGGCAAGUUUGAAUAUGGGUCAUGCCAGGUCAAAACAAGGUCACGGGGUCACUUAGUGCGUUUUAAACAUCACAAUGUUGUCCGCGAUCUAAUUCAAGUAGUUUUCAUCCAAUCUUCACCAAACUUGGUCAGAAGUUGUAUCUAGAUGAGGUCUAGGUUAAGUUUGAAUAUGGGUCAUGCCGGGUCAAAAACUAGGUCCUGGGGUAUCUUAGUGCGUUUUAAACCUCACCAUGUUGUCCGCUCUCUAAUUCAAGUAGUUUUCAUCCAAUCCUCACCAAACUUGGUCACAAGUUUUAUCUAAAUGAACCCUAGGACAAGUUUUAACAUGGGCCAUUCCGGGCCUAAAACUAGGUAACAGGGUCACUUAGUGCAUUUUUUAACAUUCAGUAUGGUGUCCGCUCUCUAAUUCAAGAAGUUUACAUCCGAUCUUCACCAAACUUGGUCAGAAGUUUUAUGGAGAUGAUCUUAAGGCCAAGUUAGAAUAUGGGCCUUUCUGGGUCAAAAACUAGUUCCAGAGGUGAAUUAGUGCGUUUUAAAAAAUUGAGCAUGGUGUCCGCUGUUUUUUGUAAAGACGACAUGCAAAUAUUAUGUGUCAAUGCGGCAUGUGGGGGUAUUCGUCACGUCUGUGACAAAGCUCUAGUUUCAAUUUGACUACUCGUACAUUAGUUUGAGUUGUACAACCCAAUGUUUAUUGCAAUCAACAUUAUUCUCUUCUUUAGGUUGCAUUCAAUUAUUCGAUUUCUCUUUAAUUAUUGUUGGAAUUAAAUUUCAACUCAUCACAUGUCUUAAAGGUCAGUGUGUGUGGUCUCUUACCAAGGCCCAGAAGUUCGAUUGGAAGCAGACGUCACUUCUAUUUGUACUUAAAAAAUGCAGGUUAUAGUUGGCAUUCAAGCAGUGUCAAUAUCUUCUACAGAUAUUAAAUAAAACUUAACAUUUAUGUUCUCAGUCUUUAUAUACAGUCAGGAUAUAAACUUAAAAUUGUGAACAUCUCAUUUGCAGAAUUUUUCCUCUUUUUGCACUGGAACAGUUAGGUUAAGUUUUUGCAUACAAGAUGAAAAUCUGUAAAGGUUUUUGUGCAAUGAGUACAUGUAUACAUGUAUAUCUCAGUAACAACUACAGAGUGUCAAUUUAAGCGUUUAAAUAGCUGGGACAUUAUUUUAUUAUUAUUAUUAUAUAAUAAAAUUAUUUAUUAUUUUAAACUACUGAUCAACCCUGCAAUGAAGAAAAUGUUUUACCUAUGUGUAAAUGUAGGAAAAUCAGGGUAAGGUUUAUUUAUAUUGUAACAUCUACUAAAAUUGAAUUUAAUUUCAAUUAUGUCUUUAUGUUCUUUAUUGUAGGCCAGUGACUGACAAAUACUUUUCCAUAAUACAAUCGAGUAGAGAAAGCUGUAAUGGGACUUUUCUUAUCCAAAGAUAUGUUCAUAAACAUUUUUUUAAUGAUAGGAUGGAUGCAUAAAUAAUUAGUUUUUUUUAACUUAAAUUAUGUAAAUGAUGAUAAAUAUAUGUGCAUAUGUUAGGUAAAACAUUAAGACAUUCCAGAAUAAUAGUAUAGAUAUAAAUUCCUUAGAUUUGUUUAUUAGAAAUUAUGUUCCCAAUUUUUUUUUUUAAAGAUUCUUUUUAAUUUAAAUAUAUGUUGAAUGUUUUAUAAUUUAUUAAGCAAUUGUACAGCUGCCUGUCUAUUUACAUACAUCAACAUACAAAAUAUAUGUUAUAAGUUACUGGGCACACUUGCAUAACAAACCUUAUACCUAACAAAAACUGACCAUAAUGGUUAUUUUUAUUUGCAGGUGUCAAUGUGGUCACUGGGCAUGAUAUUUUCAGGCAUAUUAAUUAUUUUUAGGGCAAAAAUGACUGAUAUUACAGUACUGUGCCAUGUAUAAACAUUAAAUUACUAUGCUGUGGGCAAGGUUGUGAUGAUGACAGGUUCUUGUUAUUGUUAUUUGAAGUCAAGUCUGUGGCUGUUAAAUAAAAAAAUAUGUAGAGAAUACAAGAAUACACAUGUACAUAUUUUUA
Long non-coding RNA from Dreissena polymorpha, 5106 nucleotides. RefSeq lists it as uncharacterized. The record is from RefSeq and is a predicted model, not a curated record. The transcript has 2 exons. NCBI's taxonomy places the organism in Eukaryota, Metazoa, Mollusca, Bivalvia, Myida, Dreissenidae.